AAGCGUUUAUGACCAGACUUGGGCUUGGUUAAUCAUCUGGGGUUCUCCCCAGUGCACUUUUCCAGUCCAGGCCAGCAUCAGUUUUCCCCGGGGGAUAAAGGCGGCGGGAAUGUGGCUCUCUUCGG
Molecule: ribosomal RNA, 125 nt
Filed under: Fusarium oxysporum
Lineage: Eukaryota; Fungi; Ascomycota; Sordariomycetes; Hypocreales; Nectriaceae
Description: partial large subunit ribosomal RNA
Source: RNAcentral